This 240-nucleotide unclassified non-coding RNA is filed under the name soil metagenome. RNAcentral describes it as "partial contains 5.8S ribosomal RNA, internal transcribed spacer 2, and large subunit ribosomal RNA". The record is from RNAcentral.
AAGACUAUAGACCUGCGGAGUACCUGCGGAAGGAUCAUUACACAAUACAAUAUGAAGGCUGUCCGCAGCUGGAGUAUUUUAUUACCCUUGUCUUUUGCGCACUUGUUGUUUCCUGGGCGGGUUCGCUCGCCACCAGGACCACCAAAUAAACCUUUUUUAUGCAGUUGCAAUCAGCGUCAGUACAAACAAUGUAAAUCAUUUACAACUUUCAACAACGGAUCUCUAGAUCGGAAGAGCACA